GAUGAACGCUGGCGGCGUGCCUAAUACAUGCAAGUCGAGCGAACGGACGAGAAGCUUGCUUCUCUGAUGUUAGCGGCGGACGGGUAAGUAACACGUGGAUAACCUACCUAUAAGACUGGGAUAACUUCGGGAAACCGGAGCUAAUACCGGAUAAUAUUUUGAACCGCAUGGUUCAAAAGUGAAAGACGGUCUUGCUGUCACUUAUAGAUGGAUCCGCGCUGCAUUAGCUAGUUGGUAAGGUAACGGCUUACCAAGGCAACGAUGCAUAGCCGACCUGAGAGGGUGAUCGGCCACACUGGAACUGAGACACGGUCCAGACUCCUACGGGAGGCAGCAGUAGGGAAUCUUCCGCAAUGGGCGAAAGCCUGACGGAGCAACGCCGCGUGAGUGAUGAAGGUCUUCGGAUCGUAAAACUCUGUUAUUAGGGAAGAACAUAUGUGUAAGUAACUGUGCACAUCUUGACGGUACCUAAUCAGAAAGCCACGGCUAACUACGAG
RNAcentral lists this ribosomal RNA (497 nucleotides) under uncultured bacterium. RNAcentral's name for it is "partial 16S ribosomal RNA". It matches the Rfam family "Bacterial small subunit ribosomal RNA", at positions 28 to 507 of the family's 1533-position model. The record is from RNAcentral.